AUCGCUUCUCGGCCUUUUGGCUAAGAUCAAGUGUAGUAUCUGUUCUUAUCAGUUUAAUAUCUGAUACGUCCUCUUUCCGAGGACAAUAUAUUAAAUGGGAACUUAGGGAAGAUCUUAAAAUUUUU
Molecule: small nuclear RNA, 125 nt
Filed under: Marmota monax (woodchuck)
Lineage: Eukaryota; Metazoa; Chordata; Mammalia; Rodentia; Sciuridae
Rfam family: U2 spliceosomal RNA
About the family: U2 is a small nuclear RNA (snRNA) component of the spliceosome (involved in pre-mRNA splicing). Complementary binding between U2 snRNA (in an area lying towards the 5' end but 3' to hairpin I) and the branchpoint sequence (BPS) of the intron results the bulging out of an unpaired adenosine, on the BPS, which initiates a nucleophilic attack at the intronic 5' splice site, thus starting the first of two transesterification reactions that mediate splicing.
Source: RNAcentral